RNAcentral lists this unclassified non-coding RNA (355 nucleotides) under soil metagenome. RNAcentral's name for it is "partial contains 5.8S ribosomal RNA, internal transcribed spacer 2, and large subunit ribosomal RNA". The stretch from base 1 to 120 matches the Rfam family "5.8S ribosomal RNA", at positions 35 to 154 of the family's 154-position model. The record is from RNAcentral.
GAUGAAGAACGUAGUGAAAUGCGAUAAGUAAUGUGAAUUGCAGAAUUCAGUGAAUCAUCGAAUCUUUGAACGCACAUUGCGCCCAUUAGUAUUCUAGUGGGCAUGCCUGUUCGAGCGUCAUUAAGUCCACUUAAGCCCUGCUUAGUGUUGGGAGACUGCUCCAGCGGUGCUACCCUGUAGCUACCCUGCAGCUCCUCAAAGACAGCGGCGGAGUUGUGGUAUCCUCUGAGCUUAGUAACUUGUUCUAGCUUUCGAGUACACCACUUCCCCUGCCGUAAAACCCUUAAUUUUUAAUGGUUGACCUCGGAUCAGGUAGGAAUACCCGCUGAACUUAAGCAUAUCAAUAAGCGGAGUA